This 456-nucleotide ribosomal RNA is filed under the name Acalles breiti. RNAcentral describes it as "eukaryotic LSU rRNA". It matches the Rfam family "Eukaryotic large subunit ribosomal RNA", at positions 1340 to 1663 of the family's 3401-position model. Lineage: Eukaryota; Metazoa; Arthropoda; Insecta; Coleoptera; Curculionidae. The record is from RNAcentral.
GCUUAUACUCGACCGUCAGCGGCACGUGCGAUCGCGCGUUUCGGCGCGCGAUCACGAAGCCCUGACGAGUAGGAGGGUCGCGGCGGUGAGCGCAGAAGGGCUGGCCGCGAGGCCGUCUGGAGCCGCCGUCGGUGCAGAUCUUGGUGGUAGUAGCAAAUACUCCAGCGAGGCCCUGGAGGACUGACGUGGAGAAGGGUUUCGUGUGAACAGCCGUUGCACACGAGUCAGUCGAUCCUAAGCCCUAGGCGAAAGCCGAUGUCGAUGCGGUGUGGAUUUCUUUAUUUUUCGUACAAUGCGACGACGACGGCGACGAAGAGCGAGACAAAUGUUAAUUCGUUCGUUUCGACGACGACGGCGACGACGUAUCGGAAAGUCGAUCUCGUACACACCCAUCGGGCGAAAGGGAAUCCGGUUCCUAUUCCGGAACCUGGCAGCGGAACCGUCAAAAAGUCGGGC